GUUUCCAUCCCUUCUAGGUAGACUAAAAAC
Desulfonauticus sp. 38_4375 is the source of this 30-nucleotide non-coding RNA. NCBI's taxonomy places the organism in Bacteria, Pseudomonadati, Thermodesulfobacteriota, Desulfovibrionia, Desulfovibrionales, Desulfonauticaceae. The record is from Rfam.